GUCUUUCUCCCCUGGGUUACCUUAAUACCCUGGUUAAAAUCACAGAAAUAUAUACUCUGGUAUAAGGCAUCUUUCCCACUCUCAACUCCUGGAAGUGUUCGAUUUGGACUCCUAAGACUGCAUUAUCCACCCAACAAAACCUGUCUGAGUCUUUCUCCCCUGGGUUACCUUAAUACCCUGGUUAAAAUCACAGAAAUAUAUACUCUGGUAUAAGGCAUCUUUCCCACUCUCAACUCCUGGAAGUGUUCGAUUUGGACUCCUAAGACUGCAUUAUCCACCCAACA
Protopterus annectens (West African lungfish) is the source of this 284-nucleotide long non-coding RNA. RefSeq lists it as uncharacterized. The record is from RefSeq and is a predicted model, not a curated record. The transcript has 3 exons. Lineage: Eukaryota; Metazoa; Chordata; Ceratodontiformes; Protopteridae.